UACGUAGGGUGCGAGCGUUGUCCGGAAUUACUGGGCGUAAAGAGCUCGUAGGUGGUCUGUCGCGUCAUUUGUGAAAGCCCGGUGCUUAACUCCGGGUUGGCAGGUGAUACGGGCAUGACUGGAGUACUGUAGGGGAGACUGGAAUUCCUGGUGUAGCGGUGAAAUGCGCAGAUAUCAGGAGGAACACCGGUGGCGAAGGCGGGUCUCUGGGCAGUAACUGACGCUGAGGAGCGAAAGCGUGGGGAGCGAACAGGAUUAGAUACCUGGUAGU
RNAcentral lists this ribosomal RNA (271 nucleotides) under uncultured bacterium. RNAcentral describes it as "partial 16S ribosomal RNA". It matches the Rfam family "Bacterial small subunit ribosomal RNA", at positions 524 to 794 of the family's 1533-position model. The record is from RNAcentral.